RNAcentral lists this ribosomal RNA (497 nucleotides) under uncultured bacterium. RNAcentral describes it as "partial 16S ribosomal RNA". It matches the Rfam family "Bacterial small subunit ribosomal RNA", at positions 28 to 507 of the family's 1533-position model. The record is from RNAcentral.
GAUGAACGCUGGCGGCGUGCCUAAUACAUGCAAGUCGAGCGAACAGAUGAGGAGCUUGCUCCUCUGACGUUAGCGGCGGACGGGUGAGUAACACGUGGAUAACCUACCUAUAAGACUGGGAUAACUUCGGGAAACCGGGGCUAAUACCGGAUAAUAUAUUGAACCGCAUGGUUCAAUAGUGAAAGACGGUUUUGCUGUCACUUAUAGAUGGAUCCGCGCCGCAUUAGCUAGUUGGUAAGGUAACGGCUUACCAAGGCAACGAUGCGUAGCCGACCUGAGAGGGUGAUCGGCCACACUGGAACUGAGACACGGUCCAGACUCCUACGGGAGGCAGCAGUAGGGAAUCUUCCGCAAUGGGCGAAAGCCUGACGGAGCAACGCCGCGUGAGUGAUGAAGGUCUUCGGAUCGUAGAACUCUGUUAUUAGGGAAGAACAAAUGUGUAAGUAACUAUGCACGUCUUGACGGUACCUAAUCAGAAAGCCACGGCUAACUACGUG